RNAcentral lists this ribosomal RNA (1510 nucleotides) under Helicobacter pylori. Its description in RNAcentral is "bacterial SSU rRNA". It matches the Rfam family "Bacterial small subunit ribosomal RNA". The record is from RNAcentral. Lineage: Bacteria; Pseudomonadati; Campylobacterota; Epsilonproteobacteria; Campylobacterales; Helicobacteraceae.
UUUUAUGGAGAGUUUGAUCCUGGCUCAGAGUGAACGCUGGCGGCGUGCCUAAUACAUGCAAGUCGAACGAUGAAGCUUCUAGCUUGCUAGAAUGCUGAUUAGUGGCGCACGGGUGAGUAACGCAUAGGUUAUGUGCCUCUUAGUUUGGGAUAGCCAUUGGAAACGAUGAUUAAUACCAGAUACUCCCUACGGGGGAAAGAUUUAUCGCUAAGAGAUCAGCCUAUGUCCUAUCAGCUUGUUGGUAAGGUAAUGGCUUACCAAGGCUAUGACGGGUAUCCGGCCUGAGAGGGUGAACGGACACACUGGAACUGAGACACGGUCCAGACUCCUACGGGAGGCAGCAGUAGGGAAUAUUGCUCAAUGGGGGAAACCCUGAAGCAGCAACGCCGCGUGGAGGAUGAAGGUUUUAGGAUUGUAAACUCCUUUUGUUAGAGAAGAUAAUGACGGUAUCUAACGAAUAAGCACCGGCUAACUCCGUGCCAGCAGCCGCGGUAAUACGGAGGGUGCAAGCGUUACUCGGAAUCACUGGGCGUAAAGAGCGCGUAGGCGGGAUAGUCAGUCAGGUGUGAAAUCCUAUGGCUUAACCAUAGAACUGCAUUUGAAACUACUAUUCUAGAGUGUGGGAGAGGUAGGUGGAAUUCUUGGUGUAGGGGUAAAAUCCGUAGAGAUCAAGAGGAAUACUCAUUGCGAAGGCGACCUGCUGGAACAUUACUGACGCUGAUUGCGCGAAAGCGUGGGGAGCAAACAGGAUUAGAUACCCUGGUAGUCCACGCCCUAAACGAUGGAUGCUAGUUGUUGGAGGGCUUAGUCUCUCCAGUAAUGCAGCUAACGCAUUAAGCAUCCCGCCUGGGGAGUACGGUCGCAAGAUUAAAACUCAAAGGAAUAGACGGGGACCCGCACAAGCGGUGGAGCAUGUGGUUUAAUUCGAAGAUACACGAAGAACCUUACCUAGGCUUGACAUUGAGAGAAUCCGCUAGAAAUAGUGGAGUGUCUGGCUUGCUAGACCUUGAAAACAGGUGCUGCACGGCUGUCGUCAGCUCGUGUCGUGAGAUGUUGGGUUAAGUCCCGCAACGAGCGCAACCCCCUUUCUUAGUUGCUAACAGGUUAUGCUGAGAACUCUAAGGAUACUGCCUCCGUAAGGAGGAGGAAGGUGGGGACGACGUCAAGUCAUCAUGGCCCUUACGCCUAGGGCUACACACGUGCUACAAUGGGGUGCACAAAGAGAAGCAAUACUGCGAAGUGGAGCCAAUCUUCAAAACACCUCUCAGUUCGGAUUGUAGGCUGCAACUCGCCUGCAUGAAGCUGGAAUCGCUAGUAAUCGCAAAUCAGCCAUGUUGCGGUGAAUACGUUCCCGGGUCUUGUACUCACCGCCCGUCACACCAUGGGAGUUGUGUUUGCCUUAAGUCAGGAUGCUAAAUUAGCUACUGCCCACGGCACACACAGCGACUGGGGUGAAGUCGUAACAAGGUAACCGUAGGUGAACCUGCGGUUGGAUCACCUCCUUUCUAGA